AUUGAACGCUGGCGGCAGGCCUAACACAUGCAAGUCGAACGGUAACAGGAAGCAGCUUGCUGCUUCGCUGACGAGUGGCGGACGGGUGAGUGAUGUCUGGGAAGCUGCCCGAUGGAGGGGGAUAACUACUGGAAACGGUAGCUAAUACCGCAUAAUGUCGCAAGACCUAAGAGGGGGACCUUCGGGCCUCUUGCCAUCGGAUGUGCCCAGAUGGGAUUAGCUUGUUGGUGGGGUAACGGCUCACCAAGGCGACGAUCCCUAGCUGGUCUGAGAGGAUGACCAGCCACACUGGAACUGAGACACGGUCCAGACUCCUACGGGAGGCAGCAGUGGGGAAUAUUGGACAAUGGGCGCAAGCCUGAUGCAGCCAUGCCGCGUGUAUGAAGAAGGCCUUCGGGUUGUAAAGUACUUUCGGCGGGGAGGAAGGGAGUAAAGUUAAUACCUUGGCUCACUGACGUUACCCGCAGAAGAAGCACCGGCUAACUCCGUG
RNAcentral lists this ribosomal RNA (490 nucleotides) under uncultured bacterium. Its description in RNAcentral is "partial 16S ribosomal RNA". It matches the Rfam family "Bacterial small subunit ribosomal RNA", at positions 30 to 507 of the family's 1533-position model. The record is from RNAcentral.